AGCUCCAAUAGCGUAUAUUAAAGUUGUUGCAGUUAAAAAGCUCGUAGUUGAAUUUCUGGCUGGAAGGGAACGGUCCCGCAUCUUUGCGGGUACUUGCUCGUCUUCUGCCAUCCUUGGGCUUAGUCUCGCUGAUAUUAACUUAUCGGCGUGUACGAUGCCCAUCGUUUACUGUGAGCAAAUUAGAGUGUUCAAAGCAGGCUUAUGCCGUUGAAUAUAUUAGCAUGGAAUAAUAAGAUAGGACCUAGUGACUAUUUUGUUGGUUUGCGUUAUUAGGUAAUGAUUAAGAGGGACAGUUGUGGGUAUUCGUAUUCAGGUGUAAGAGGUGAAAUUCUUAGAUUAUCGGAAGACGAACGACUGCGAAAGCAUUUACCAAGGAUGUUUUCA
RNAcentral lists this ribosomal RNA (384 nucleotides) under uncultured marine Chaetocerotaceae. RNAcentral describes it as "SSU rRNA". It matches the Rfam family "Eukaryotic small subunit ribosomal RNA", at positions 587 to 972 of the family's 1831-position model. The record is from RNAcentral. Lineage: Eukaryota; Bacillariophyta; Thalassiosirophyceae; Chaetocerotales; Chaetocerotaceae.